CUGACUGCACGUUCAUCAUUUACCCAGCCAGCUCCCUGCCGUCUUCUCCCGCGCGCAGGCACCAAGAACAGCCACAAAGAUUCUCGCGUCCUUGAUCCAGCAUGAUGGAGAAAAGUUCCAGUGCCAAAUCCUUUUCUCCACUCCGAGAACUUGGUGUCAAGGCUCCGUUGUCGGUGUAACUGGAAAAUCUGGGCAUGAUUCCGAGAGCAGGCCACAACUCUGAGAUUGCGUGAGCAGCUGGCGAUUGCGGAGAUUGCAUUGUGAUUCCACAGGUUUUGUCAGUGAAUGCCGCCAAGAACUCAACAGAGCUGGUUGCCAGGCUCACACUGCGCAGACCAAGCGCACCACACCGCGGGGAAUGAAGCGCCGGCGAUUUUCACAGCAUUGUGUUGGUGGUUUGCUGCGAGCAAUAGGAUGCUCGCCGAUUAUUUGGAAACA
Molecule: long non-coding RNA, 438 nt
Organism: Selaginella moellendorffii
Lineage: Eukaryota; Viridiplantae; Streptophyta; Lycopodiopsida; Selaginellales; Selaginellaceae
Exons: 2
Source: RefSeq, a predicted model, not a curated record